UGAUUUACAUUUGAGUGAGUGGCGAACUGGUGAGUAACACGUGGGAAACCUGCCCAGAAGCGGGGGAUAACACCUGGAAACAGAUGCUAAUACCGCAUAACAACUUGGACCGCAUGGUCCGAGUUUGAAAGAUGGCUUCGGCUAUCACUUUUGGAUGGUCCCGCGGCGUAUUAGCUAGAUGGUGGGGUAACGGCUCACCAUGGCAAUGAUACGUAGCCGACCUGAGAGGGUAAUCGGCCACAUUGGGACUGAGACACGGCCCAAACUCCUACGGGAGGCAGCAGUAGGGAAUCUUCCACAAUGGACGAAAGUCUGAUGGAGCAACGCCGCGUGAGUGAAGAAGGGUUUCGGCUCGUAAAACUCUGUUGUUAAAGAAGAACAUAUCUGAGAGUAACUGUUCAGGUAUUGACGGUAUUUAACCAGAAAGCCACGGCUAACUACGUGCCAGCAGCCGCGGUAAUACGUAGGUGGCAAGCGUUGUCCGGAUUUAUUGGGCGUAAAGCGAGCGCAGGCGGUUUUUUAAGUCUGAUGUGAAAGCCUUCGGCUCAACCGAAGAAGUGCAUCGGAAACUGGGAAACUUGAGUGCAGAAGAGGACAGUGGAACUCCAUGUGUAGCGGUGAAAUGCGUAGAUAUAUGGAAGAACACCAGUGGCGAAGGCGGCUGUCUGGUCUGUAACUGACGCUGAGGCUCGAAAGUAUGGGUAGCAAACAGGAUUAGAUACCCUGGUAGUCCAUACCGUAAACGAUGAAUGCUAAGUGUUGGGAGGGUUUCCGCCUUUCAGUGCUGCAGCUAACGCAUUAAGCAUUCCG
Molecule: ribosomal RNA, 810 nt
Filed under: Lactiplantibacillus plantarum
Lineage: Bacteria; Bacillati; Bacillota; Bacilli; Lactobacillales; Lactobacillaceae
Description: bacterial SSU rRNA
Rfam family: Bacterial small subunit ribosomal RNA
Source: RNAcentral